GGGUUGGUAGUGUAGUGGUAACACGCUCUAGCUUUGGCUGAAGUAAGCUGAGUUCGAAUCUCGGUCAGCUCA
Molecule: transfer RNA, 72 nt
Rfam family: tRNA
About the family: Transfer RNA (tRNA) molecules are approximately 80 nucleotides in length. Their secondary structure includes four short double-helical elements and three loops (D, anti-codon, and T loops).
Source: Rfam